UCAAGCUUUAUAGCAUACAGCACAGGAAAACCAUGGAGAAUGGUGCUCGAGUUAUCAAGGGUUUUAUUCUUUCAGUUCCAGAAUCUGUGUCCCGACUCUGGCAUAGAGCAGGACAACUAGAAUCACAGCAGCUACCACCUCCCACCAUGAACGAAGAAGAAGAGCUGGUCAAUAUGUUCCAUGCUAAGCAGGAAAUGGAAUGGCAGAAGACGCUUCUAAGCAUCUGCUUCACAUCAGGACUUCAAAAAAUACGAGCAACUAUCAAUGAAUUAUGAGUAAAACAUGGCUCACAUGGCUCAUCUCACCGAGAAAUACAAACAACUCUCGAUGAAUUAUGAACAACUUCAUCAAAUGGUCAUGAACUUGGCAUCACAAAGUGGUGAUACAUGUGCGCCCCUUUUUUUGCCAUACGGUUCUGGAAACAACCAACCUCCCCCUCCUCCUCCAGCUUCGUCAUUGUGCUAAUUUAGUAUUUUUUUGGAAAUACAUUCAAUUUGUAAUGAAUAUUAUUUAACUUUUUUUUUUAUUUUUUAUGAUUAAUAAAAUUUUAUUUGCAUAAUUAUUUUUUUUACUAUUAAUUUUUUAUUUUUUAUUCUAAAUAUUUUUUUUUAAAAAAAAUUAAAAACACACACCGAUGGAUUUACAUACGACAUAUAUCCAUCGGCAUAUUACAAAGAGGGAAAUGCCAUACUCACUAGUGAAUUUACAGACGGAUACCGUCCAUCGACAUUUCACAGAGAGUGGUGGAAAUGCACUCACCGACGAAUUUACAGAUGAAUAGAGUCCGUCUGUAUUUAACAGAGUGGUGGAAAUGCACACUCACCGAUGACUUUGCCGACGGACAAAAUCCGUUAACAUCUUACCAAGAGCUGAAAAGUUUUUACUGGAUAUGCCACUAUUACUGAUGGAAUAAAUCCAUCGGUAUAUUUCUAGCGGGAGUUUUUUUUUGUGCGCAUUUUCCGUUUGUAAAACCAUCGGCAAUAUUUUUUUUUACCAACAGAUGCAGCAACGAAAUAUGGUAUUACCGACGAAAAGGAUGCCGACGGAUGCUUUUCGUCAGUAAUUUAGUCGGUAAAAAAGUUAACGAUGGAGUCUGAAUCUUACACCGACGGAUUAUAUUCGUCAGUAAAACUGUAAAAUCUUAUAGUUGGAGAUAACUCAAAAUUGGGUUAUGAGAGUCAUCAAAACUUUGAUACCAUGUCAAAAACUAUUUCAACCCAAUAACUUAAGCUGUUAGGUGAGGUUUCAAUAUAUGAUUUAUAUUAUUCUCUAACAUUAAUAUUCGAGAAUGUGUUAUAAAAAUAGAUUAAUAGGUAUAUUUGAAACUAAUUUUUUUUUUAAAAAAAAAGUUUCGUGUUUGAAUUUUAUUAGUAAGUAUUCUCUAAUGAAAAUUAUUUAACAUAGAAUAAAAAAAUAUAUAGAUGAAUGAAAAAAAUAUUUUUGAUUGGCAUGUUUUUUUGUAAAAUCUUCAAAACUCUUUAUCCCAAUUUGAGAAAAUAUAAGAUAGAACCAGCAAACUCGCUCCUGUUCAGUCUACAUAAACAAGGUCUACAGAGUACUUUCCUUUAAUCUCCUAAAUUCUGUCUGGUCUGUUAACACAUAACAGAGAUUUUGGGGUCUGCAACACCUAGCCACCUUGUGGGUUUGCUUGGAGCUCUUUGGUAGUGUGAUCGAGUCGUCAGCGUGAUAUUAUUAAAAGCCUUCUCAUCUAGAUGUUAACACAUGAUGGAUUGACCCCGGUGAGGAAUACAGGUUAGAUGGCCAUCAAAAUUCCGGGCCGGCAAGCAACUUCUCCACUUCCUCUCUUUUUAGUCGUUCUAAAACAUCCAUUUUCUAAUGAUAACCAGCUGUAUAGAUCGGGGUUUUAGAGAAGACUUGCCAUUAAUAAAAAGGAGGCAUCAAAGGAAGAGCGUUGUCUGUUUACUUUUUCCUCUUGAGGCAUGUGCAUUACACCACUUCCUGCAAAGCAAUGGCUGGAUAGGAUGCGAAUGUUAAUUUGGGAAAUAAUAAUAUUAUUUAUCGGAUUUGGAAAGCAGGAUGCGAAGACAGCUAAGUAGGCAGAGAGAGAGAAAAAAAAAUAUCUUGAUAGCAUAUAGGCUUAUUUGUUUUUGCAUUUCAAAAAUAUUUGAAAAAUGUUUUACUUUUUUAUGUGCUUUUAAUUAAUAUUUUUUUAUAUUUUUAUAUUAUUUUGAUGUGUCGAUGUUAAAAAUAAUUUUUUAAAAAUAAAAAAAUAUAUAUUAUUUUGAUGUAUUUUCGAGUGAAAAAUAUUUUGAAAAGCAACCGCAACUACACUUUCAAAUACCCUACUUUCUUUGUAGAGAAAUAUUUCUUAAAAGUCAAAUAUUUGAAGGGACUCAAUAUUUUCUUAAAAAAAAAAAAGGAAAUUUCAAGUAAAGUGUGAAUUGGGGGAAGAACUCAUAUAUGAUGGGUGUUAACUUAAUCAAGAGGGGGGCUAGCGGGAGUAUAAUGCCAUAAGAAAAUUAAAUCAAGAAACAUCUCUAUUACAUAAUUAUAUAAAUUACAUCCUGAAUUUCACUUAACAGUAAGUUAUUAAAUUUUAUAACCAAGAUAAUUCAAAACCUUAAUAAUUAAACAAUUAUGAGUUCGAAUUCGUUGACAAUUUAAUCUUCUUUUGUAAUCUCAAAUGAUUUGGUUAUUGUAGAACCGAUUCAUGGUAUGGUGGGGUUAUGAGUGGGUGGUUCCAGACACCAUUGAUGAACUCUAUCAUCAAUGGGAGAAUAUUUAUUAGUGGGAAAAAAGCAAAGGGUAUAUAUGUAGCUACGGUUUCUUCUUCUCUACUGAGUUUGUUCUUACAACUCAAUCCUUGCUCUUUUUUUAUAACAAUUGCUUGUGGAUGAUUAAUUCCAUUUAAUGUUUUAUUUUGUUCCGAGGAUAAAUUAAUUUGAGGGGAGAGAUAGAGAGGUGAAGAAAGAAAAUCUUGAUUUGAUAUUUUCGGUCACAGAAAUCAUUGAUCUUAGCUUCCUUGUAUUCAGGUCGGUGAGGAAAGUUGGUGUUGGCUAAAAGCCUUGAGUUUUUUUUUUUUUUAAUUUGAUUUGAUUUGAUUUUCAAACUUUUAGGUUAAUUAAAAUGUGUCUUGGGAUUGAAAUAAGUUUAUGAAGAUUGUUAGAGUAUAUUUUAGAUGUUUAGAGUGAAAGAGGUUGAAAAUUGAUAUUUUAGAUCCAAACCAAGGUUGUCAAUUCCGUUUCAGUAGGUGUUUCGUUUUUUCAAUUGGAAUGGAAUAUUUUAAUUUCGGAAUGUUUCGGCGUGCCAUUUCGAGAUUAUAUUUCGGAAUUUUUUUUGUACUUUGUCUCUGUUGGCUUUUCGAUGUAAUCAAAAUGUCAAUGAUGAUCACUUCUGUGCUGGGAUGGGAAGUCAACUUUAAGAAAUAAUAAUAGUACAGAAUUAGAGGAGAUGAUUUGUGACCAUCUAUAAAGGCAAAUAGUUACCUGCAUAAAACCAUAUACCAGAAAAGGAUAGAUAAAUUCAUAGCUUCAUUUAUUACUAAGAAUGGCCCCUCCCCUUCUUGAAAAAUUGAUGGAAUGCGCUCAGGCAAUUGAAGAUGGUGAUCUGAAACAUGCAGAUUCACUCUUCAAGGAAAUCGGACUCCAAAGUUCCACCGAAGCCAAUUUAGCCACAAGAAAAGUUGUCAAAUACUUCGCUGAAGCUCUUGUUCGGCGACUGUAUAAACUGUAUCCUCGAAGUCCUAUGCCGCUAGUACGUUUCAGAGAAGAUAUGGACAUCCUCGGUUGCAAAUUCGAACCUUUCCUCUCGUUUGCUAGCUACACCAUCAUGCCUCCCUUCUACGAUGCACUGCGUGGAAAAAAACAAGUUCACAUUAUUGACUUUUCCGUUGCGGUGGAUAUCUGGCAGCAUGCUACUCUGAUGAAAGUGCUUGCAAGCGAGCUUGGUAGCCGGUUGUCAUACCGGAUAACUUUCGUCGGGCCAAAAUUAUCAAAACAUCUUGGGUACCUCAAGUUAAUUAGUUUGAUCCUCACUAAAACGGCUGAAAACCAUCAAAUUGAUUUCGAGUAUGGAGAAUAUCUUGCUAAUAGUGCGCGUGAGAUAGUUGGAGCUACUCUCCAACUCGGCAGAAGAAGCAAGGGAGAGGCGGUGGUGGUGGAAUGGGAAUUUGAACUACACAAAUUGCUUGCAGUACCCAGUGCAGUAUUCAAUCUGGUGAUGUCAAAAUUGAAGGACCUCAAACCAGAGGUCAUGGUAAUUGUCGAACAGGAAGCGGAUCAUAACAGUCCAGAUUUGAUGGACCGCCUCGGCAAAUCAUUCAAGUAUUACUCUGUUAUGUUUGACUCCCUCGAGGAGGAUAAAUUUGAAAAGCUUGAAGAUUAUAGAGUUCUAUGGGAGAGGAAUUUUAGGCGCCAGAUUAGCAAAGUGGUGGCUGAAGAGGGCAUCGGCCAUGUUGAGCGACAUGAGACAUGGGCUCAGUGGCGAGACAGACUGUUUAGAGCUGGUUUUCAUCCUGCUCGCAUAUUGUUCCGUGAAACUAUGUUUUUUAAUAACAAGACUAAGACAAUAAUAGAAUAGAAGAAAAGAAUCGGCGUCCUCUGCUCUGCCGGCUCGAUUACCCUUUCGCUAUCUCUUCGGCUUGGAAACCUGACCUAACUCACGAUGGUGAGCACACUGCUUCCUACAAUUACAUCUAUCAGAGUCUCUACUGAUUAAGGAACUUUGUUUUUUAAUGUACUAAAUAUAGCUUUGUUUCAUGAAGUAAUUAUUGAAAUGCAUGUUUUUUGGCUGCGGUAAUAAUAAUAUUGACUAUGCAGAGUCAAUAAGCAUGGAGAUAGGUGACCUAGGAUCUAUGCUGGGCAGUUUUAACAUAGCACAAGAUGCCAGUAGGGAGUCCGGGAAAGCAAGCAAUUCUGUAUCCCGUGAAGACGACGCAGAUGAUGCUACUAUCAUGAUGACAGGAAAUAUUUGGUCGACAGAGGUAUCGUUUUCUCUAUAAAAACCACUUUAUUUUAUUGUGUAUUGGUCAAAUUUGUCCCCUUCGUCAAAUUGAUAGUUUCCAUUAGAUUGCAUCAUUAAAUGAGCCAAUAUGGCUGUAAAUCAUAUUUGCAUUCUAAUGAAAAAAUUAUAAAAAAAGUUAUCAAUUGAAUGAAGUUAGAAUAAAAUGUGUUGGACAAUAAUAUAAAUUAUGUCUUGAUGUCUCAAUUAACACCUUAAAAUUUUAGAUGAAAUGAUUUUUUUAAAAUGAUAUCAAAUCAGCCUUGUUGACUAAACACUCAUAAAUUUAAAUCUUAACAUCUCAAUUCUAUUUAAUAAAAAUAAAACAUAAUAUAGUAUGGGUCUAUAUAAAUUUCAAGCUCUAAAAGCUUUUACUUGAGAGAAUAAAUCAUAUCUUGAGUUCAAGCCCUGAUAGCUUUUACUCAAAAAGUAUGUGUUAGAAAAUAAUAUAAAUCAUAUCUUGAACUCAAACUUCAAGGUUUUCACUUGAAAACGAUUAUAUCUUAAGACCAAGUCUUUGGUCUUAGUGAGUAUAGUUCCCUCCGAGAUAAAUGAUAAUUCUUGCAAUGAACAAUAGUCUCACUAGCAAAAACAGGUACAUAAUAGGUUCAUAGCAGUUUGCAUUUAUAUAAUAUUUAUAUGGUAUAUAUGAAAUGAUGUAACAACUUAUAUGGUAUAUUGUUUGCAUAGCUGAAUGCAUUUAAGUUCACCAGUUGACCUAUUCUAAUGGGCUUUAUGAACUUUUUUCUUCCAAAACAUUUUCACAAACCAGUUGGUUAACCUGGACGCCCUUUUCAAAGAUGAUAUAGAUCAGAACUACCAAAAAGUUUGGUCCUUCACAGAUUUCAGAGUGGAAAGACCAUCGAAUGUCCCACAGCAACAAAAUGGGUACAUAUAUAUUUAUGAUCCACAAUAUAUUGAGUAGUUAGGUUACAUAUUGUUGAGUACCUUUAAAAUACUGUAAGCCACAUCAGUUGACAUGAUUUCUUUCUGUGCAGACAUGACUGUGGUGUGUAUGUUAUCAAGUUUAUGCUAGCACCAGAAGAAGUGACAAAUCCUGAUUUUGUGGUAAGAUUUUAACAUUAAUGUGCCCUUACUGAAGAUAAAGGUAUGACAGUCUUUCUAAUUAUCUAGCCAACAUGCAGUUCGACAGUGAAAACGAGAGGUUAGAAGUGGUACUAAGAUUGCUAGCGAGUGAUGUCAACUCAUGCAGGAAUGAUUUGGCUUCUAAGGCUGAGGCAUAUUAUGAGCAGAAUUUUUGGCAAGAAAUGUCUGCACACACUGAGGCUAAUGUUGAGAUCCUUUUUCUAGCCUAGGAUCAAGGGGUGCUUUCAUUUUUUUUUUUAACCUUGAUUUUUUUGCAAUUAUCCCAUGGGAUCAAGAGUAUUCUAAUCUUUGCAUAAUUAAAAAAAAAUGUCUGCACACACUAUCAAAGAAGAGGCGCCCGCACCCUUUGUAAAUUCUAUCUUAGAUUUCAUUUAAUAAUUUAAGAUGAGAUGGUUUAUUUUUUGUUACUUCACAAUUAUAGUAAUACAUAGCUAAUUUAAGACGAUCUCGUUUAUUUAAUAAUUUAAUAAUUAUAGUAAUACAUAAUUUAUGACGACAAAUAUAUAAUUGCUUGAAAUUUUUUGAAAUUUUCUUAUAUAUAUAAAAAUAUGAAAGAGAAUGAGGUUAGGAUUUUCAUUAUCACAGUAUUAUGAAGUUAUUAUUUUAAAUUAAAUAUAAAACAUUAUAUAUAAACUAAAUUAAAAAUACUAUUUUAACCUUAAUAAAUAAAACAAGAUAAAUAUAUUUUUUAACAACUAUCACUUGUUUUUUUAAAAUAAAAAUAAAAAUAAAAACAAUUCUUUCAAUGAUCAUAGGAAAUAAGUGAACUACAUAGUAAUAAAUUUAAGCCAGUUCUAACAUCUUAGAUGAUAAAGUUACCUUCAUGGGUGUUUUAGAUACACUCUAAGUUCUUAUUAUGAAUCUUUUAUAAUAUCUAAUAUUUAGUUCUUAAUCCAAUAAUUAUAUGAUUUGAAGGGCAUCUAGUAAUGUGAUCGAUGAUAUUAAAUUAACAUUAUAGAAUCGGACCUCUCAUAAUAAAAAUCAACGGAAGGCAAUGAAGAAUCGGACAUCAUUAUAAUAUUCAAUCGGGCCUCUUGCCAAGAGUGGCAUUGCAAGAAACUACGUAAACUUCAAAACAGGGACAGAAUUCCCAUUUAUAUAUUCAUGUUCUUGCUUUGUUAAUUCCCAUUAUAACUUCAAAACAAGCACAGCCUAGAUUCAAACUGUUUAUAUUUAAUUUGGAAAAAACAAAUAUAAAAAAAGGUCCCAGAUACAGAAAUCGAGGGGUAGGCUUAAGGCCCAGCUUGAAACGUGCUAUUCGGCCAUAAGCUGCAACUUUCGCAACAGACGUUAGAUUAAAGCCUUAUGCAUAAAUCCAAAGAACAUUCCUGCCAACCUUUUGAAACCAAAAUGAAAACACAGCUGGUGGUCCUGUGGCAAUGAAUUCAGUGUGCUUGCUACAAGGCAACUAACCUUCCCUCCAUAUAAUUUGGUUUUAUAGUAGUUUUUACAGUUUGGAAAAACAAACUUUUAAAAAAACUAUAAAUUAAAAAACAUUAAUGGCUUGAUUAUUAAGGUUUCUUCAUCAACUUCUACUCUAAUAUAAAAAAUUACAGGUCCGAUUGACUUUUCCAAACUCCAACAUUCGGUUGUUGACUCUUGAGGUCCGAAUCCGAUUAUCAACAAACUCCAACUCUUUCUUUUCUGCUGGUAUAAAUAAGCUGGCAAUAUCAGCAUCAUAAGCAUACUUUUUUGACAGUUUUUUUCGUAUCUUAUAAAUUAUUUCCUUGUCUUCUCAAGCUUUAUAGCAUACAGCACAGGAAAACCAUGGAGAAUGGUGCUCGAGUUAUCAAGGUUUUAUUCUUUCAAUUCAAGAAUCUGUGUCCCGAUUCUGGCAUGGAGUACGACAACUAGAAUCACAGCAGCUACCACCUCCCACCAUGAACCAAGAAGGAGAGGCUAACCAGGGAAUGGAAUGGCAAAAAAUGCUUGUAAGCACCUGCUUCACAUCAGGACUUGAAAUAGCCCUUCAUUUUCACCAAAUUACUGAUUCCAAACUCGAUUCCUUGCAUUUA
RNAcentral lists this long non-coding RNA (8081 nucleotides) under Populus tremula. RNAcentral's name for it is "long non-coding RNA (PTRE_LNC001436)". Lineage: Eukaryota; Viridiplantae; Streptophyta; Magnoliopsida; Malpighiales; Salicaceae. The record is from RNAcentral.